Molecule: ribosomal RNA, 253 nt
Filed under: uncultured bacterium
Lineage: Bacteria
Description: partial 16S ribosomal RNA
Rfam family: Bacterial small subunit ribosomal RNA
Source: RNAcentral
UACAGAGGGUGCGAGCGUUAAUCGGAUUUACUGGGCGUAAAGGGCGCGUAGGCGGUGAUAUGUGUGAUAGGUGAAAGCCCCGGGCUUAACCUGGGAAGUGCCUAUCAAACUAUAUGACUGGAGUAUAAGAGAGGGUGGCGGAAUUUCCGGUGUAGCGGUGAAAUGCGUAGAGAUCGGAAGGAACGUCAAUGGCGAAGGCAGCCACCUGGCUUAAUACUGACGCUGAAGCGCGAAAGCGUGGGGAGCAAACAGG